GCCAGGUGUGGUGGCGCACACCUGUAAACCCAGCAGCUCGGGAGGCUGGAGAUAGGGGGAUUGCGGAGUUCAAAGCCAGCUUCCACAAAAGUGAGGUUCUAAGCAACUGAGUGAGACCCUGUCUCUA
RNAcentral lists this small RNA (127 nucleotides) under Marmota monax (woodchuck). Lineage: Eukaryota; Metazoa; Chordata; Mammalia; Rodentia; Sciuridae. The record is from RNAcentral.